RNAcentral lists this ribosomal RNA (444 nucleotides) under uncultured soil bacterium. RNAcentral's name for it is "bacterial SSU rRNA". It matches the Rfam family "Bacterial small subunit ribosomal RNA", at positions 26 to 518 of the family's 1533-position model. The record is from RNAcentral.
AGAACGAACGCUGGCGGCAUGCCUAACACAUGCAAGUCGAACGAGACCUUCGGGUCUAGUGGCGCACGGGUGCGUAACGCGUGGGAAUCUGCCCUUGGGUUCGGGAUAACAGUUGGAAACGACUGCUAAUACCGGAUGAUGACUUCGGUCCAAAGAUUUAUCGCCCAGGGAUGAGCCCGCGUCGGAUUAGCUAGUUGGUGGGGUAAAAGCCUACCAAGGCAACGAUCCGUAGCUGGUCUGAGAGGAUGAUCAGCCACACUGGGACUGAGACACGGCCCAGACUCCUACGGGAGGCAGCAGUGGGGAAUAUUGGACAAUGGGCGAAAGCCUGAUCCAGCAAUGCGCGUGAGUGAUGAAGGCCUUAGGUUGUAAAGCUCUUUUUACCGGGAUGAUAAUGACAGUACCGGAGAAUAAGCCCCGGCUAACUCCGACGCCAGCAGCCGC